AGCUUUGCGCAGUGGCAGCAGUGGCCAGUGAAGUUUAUCCGAGGCGUGAUUAUUGCUGAUUGAAAACUUCCCCAUUACCCGCCAAGAUGACUUGAAAUAUAGUUGGCGUUGGCAAUUUUUGACAGUUUCUGUGGAGA
Callithrix jacchus (white-tufted-ear marmoset) is the source of this 137-nucleotide small nuclear RNA. Its record names the gene U4. It matches the Rfam family "U4 spliceosomal RNA". From Rfam's summary of the family: U4 small nuclear RNA (U4 snRNA) is a component of the major U2-dependent spliceosome. The structure of U4 snRNA from yeast and human has been reported. U4 snRNA presents a k-turn RNA motif in the 5p-SL related to recognition of Snu13 protein. NCBI's taxonomy places the organism in Eukaryota, Metazoa, Chordata, Mammalia, Primates, Cebidae. The record is from Ensembl.